RNAcentral lists this transfer RNA (75 nucleotides) under Oceanospirillaceae bacterium. Its description in RNAcentral is "tRNA-Arg". It matches the Rfam family "tRNA". Rfam says of the family: Transfer RNA (tRNA) molecules are approximately 80 nucleotides in length. The record is from RNAcentral. Lineage: Bacteria; Pseudomonadati; Pseudomonadota; Gammaproteobacteria; Oceanospirillales; Oceanospirillaceae.
CUCCCCAUAGUUCAAUGGAUAGAACAAACCCCUCCUAAGGGUUAGAUCCAGGUUCGAGUCCUGGUGGGGAGGCCA